RNAcentral lists this transfer RNA (77 nucleotides) under Cordylochernes scorpioides. RNAcentral's name for it is "tRNA-Thr". The record is from RNAcentral. Lineage: Eukaryota; Metazoa; Arthropoda; Arachnida; Pseudoscorpiones; Chernetidae.
UUUAUAAUUGGAAUGGAAAUCGAACCCACAGUGUUCCGCUUACCGGGCAGAUACCAUGUCCACUAGGCUACCCUGGA